RNA transcript from Lemur catta (Ring-tailed lemur), 539 nucleotides. It is a transcript of the gene named single-stranded DNA-binding protein, mitochondrial-like, with no coding region annotated. The transcript has 2 exons. The record is from RefSeq and is a predicted model, not a curated record. Lineage: Eukaryota; Metazoa; Chordata; Mammalia; Primates; Lemuridae.
GAGCGUCAGGAAGAGUCUAAAGAUUAGAUUGCAAGAAAAGAAAACAGAAGCCAUGUUUUGGAGACCUGUAUUACGGGCACUUUGGCAGUUUAUAAGACAUGAGUCCGACAUAGCUAGCACUUUGGUUCUUGAGAGAUCCCUGAAUCAUGGGCAAUUACUUGGGGAAGUAGGUCAGGACCCUGUCAUGAGACAGGUGGAAGGAAAAAAUCCAGUCACAAUAUUUUCUCUAGCAACAAAUGAGAUGUGGUCAUCAGGGGACAGUGAAGUACACCAAAUGGGUGAUGUCAGUCAAAAGACAACAUGGCACAGAAUAUCAGUUUUCCAGCCAGGCCUCAGAGAUGUGGCGUAUCAGUAUGUGGAAAAAGAGGUCUCGAAUUUAUGUGGAAGAGAAAGUAGACUACGGUGAAUACGUGGAUAAAAAUAAUGUGAGGCAAGAAGCAACAACGAUUACAGCUGAUGAUAUUGUAUUUCUGAGUGACCAGGCAAAAGAGAAGGAUGAUUCUUCUUUGGCCACUGUUUGCUCUACCACCUUCAGCUGA